This 645-nucleotide ribosomal RNA is filed under the name Lactobacillus crispatus. RNAcentral's name for it is "bacterial SSU rRNA". It matches the Rfam family "Bacterial small subunit ribosomal RNA", at positions 225 to 861 of the family's 1533-position model. The record is from RNAcentral. Lineage: Bacteria; Bacillati; Bacillota; Bacilli; Lactobacillales; Lactobacillaceae.
AUGGCCCCGCGGUGCAUUAGCUAGUUGGUAAGGUAAAGGCUUACCAAGGCGAUGAUGCAUAGCCGAGUUGAGAGACUGAUCGGCCACAUUGGGACUGAGACACGGCCCAAACUCCUACGGGAGGCAGCAGUAGGGAAUCUUCCACAAUGGACGCAAGUCUGAUGGAGCAACGCCGCGUGAGUGAAGAAGGUUUUCGGAUCGUAAAGCUCUGUUGUUGGUGAAGAAGGAUAGAGGUAGUAACUGGCCUUUAUUUGACGGUAAUCAACCAGAAAGUCACGGCUAACUACGUGCCAGCAGCCGCGGUAAUACGUAGGUGGCAAGCGUUGUCCGGAUUUAUUGGGCGUAAAGCGAGCGCAGGCGGAAGAAUAAGUCUGAUGUGAAAGCCCUCGGCUUAACCGAGGAACUGCAUCGGAAACUGUUUUUCUUGAGUGCAGAAGAGGAGAGUGGAACUCCAUGUGUAGCGGUGGAAUGCGUAGAUAUAUGGAAGAACACCAGUGGCGAAGGCGGCUCUCUGGUCUGCAACUGACGCUGAGGCUCGAAAGCAUGGGUAGCGAACAGGAUUAGAUACCCUGGUAGUCCAUGCCGUAAACGAUGAGUGCUAAGUGUUGGGAGGUUUCCGCCUCUCAGUGCUGCAGCUAACGCAUU